ACGUUUAGAGUUUUUAAGUGGUUAUUAAAUGUGGUUUAUUAGUAUUAGUUUUUAAUUAAGUGCUAUUUUAUGUUCCCAAUCCUCAGCAUCUAAAACCCAACAGCCAUGCGGCUGGGUUUAAUUACCAGUAGACCAACAGUUUUUCUUUUAUUUUAGUUUUUUAAUCCUUUUUCUUAAUUUAUUUUAGUUUAUAUAUUUAGGUUAGUCUUAAAAUAACAGUUAGUUGUUAAAUAGCCUAGUGGAGAGAGGAUAGUGCUGUAAUCUCAGGAUGAGCGGGUUCGAUACUCGUAGGGGGUAUUUUUAGUAUUUCUUUUUUUAGUAUUUCUUUUUAGUAUUUCAUUUCUUUUUAGCAUUUCAUUUUUAUUUCUUUUUAGUAUUUUAUUAUCUUUUAGCAUUUUGUUUCUUUUAAUAGUUUUUUAUGUCCAUGAUUUUUUUUAAAUCCAUCAUGCAUGCAAAACCAUUAAGAAAAAAUCAUACUUUUCUCGAUUUAAUAUCGAGCCCUUUUUCACACCCUUGUAAGUCGAUUGCUUUUUAAGCAUCGCCACCGACCUCACAUAGCUUACUCUUGGGCUUUCUUACAAUGAGCCGGUUCCCUUGCACUUACACUCAUGCAUUAUUUGUUUGGGCCCGAUUUUAUUUAUUCCAUGAUUGUUUAAUCCCCAUUUG
This 666-nucleotide long non-coding RNA is filed under the name Lathyrus oleraceus (garden pea). RNAcentral's name for it is "Pisum sativum (pea) long non-coding RNA (PSAT_LNC034083)". The record is from RNAcentral. Lineage: Eukaryota; Viridiplantae; Streptophyta; Magnoliopsida; Fabales; Fabaceae.